RNAcentral lists this ribosomal RNA (266 nucleotides) under uncultured prokaryote. RNAcentral's name for it is "partial 16S ribosomal RNA". It matches the Rfam family "Bacterial small subunit ribosomal RNA", at positions 524 to 788 of the family's 1533-position model. The record is from RNAcentral.
UACGUAGGUGGCUAGCGUUGUCCGGAUUUACUGGGCGUAAAGGGAGCGUAGGCGGACUUUUAAGUGAGAUGUGAAAUACCCGGGCUCAACUUGGGUGCUGCAUUUCAAACUGGAAGUCUAGAGUGCAGGAGAGGAGAAUGGAAUUCCCAGUGUAGCGGUGAAAUGCGUAGAGAUUAGGAAGAACACCAGUGGCGAAGGCGAUUCUCUGGACUGUAACUGACGCUGAGGCUCGAAAGCGUUGGGGAGCAAACAGGAUUAGAUACCCU